Molecule: ribosomal RNA, 456 nt
Filed under: uncultured Pelotomaculum sp.
Lineage: Bacteria; Bacillati; Bacillota; Clostridia; Eubacteriales; Desulfotomaculaceae
Description: bacterial SSU rRNA
Rfam family: Bacterial small subunit ribosomal RNA
Source: RNAcentral
GCGGUGGAGCAUGUGGUUUAAUUCGACGCAACGCGAAGAACCUUACCAGGGUCUUGACACUCCCUGACCGCGUAUGAAAGUACGUUUUCACCCUCGGGUGACAGGGAGACAGGUGGUGCAUGGUUGUCGUCAGCUCGUGUCGUGAGAUGUUGGGUUAAGUCCCGCAACGAGCGCAACCCCUACGUUUAGUUGCUAACGCGUGAAGGCGAGCACUCUAGACGAACUGCCGUUGACAAAACGGAGGAAGUGGGGAUGACGUCAAAUCAUCAUGCCCCUUAUGUUCUGGGCUACACACGUGCUACAAUGGCCGGUACAGACGGACGCAAAGCCGCGAGGUGGAGCAAAUCCUAAAAGCAGGCCCCAGUUCAGAUUGCAGUCUGCAACUCGACUGCAUGAAGCCGGAGUUGCUAGUAACCGCAGGUCAGCAAUACUGCGGUGAAUACGUUCCCGGGUCUU